GUGACACUCAAAAAGUAGCAGCACUUUUUUUCAUCACGAGGGAGAAAAAGUGCCCCCACAGUUUGAGUGCCAC
This is a non-coding RNA of Dipodomys ordii (Ord's kangaroo rat), 73 nucleotides long. The record is from Rfam. NCBI's taxonomy places the organism in Eukaryota, Metazoa, Chordata, Mammalia, Rodentia, Heteromyidae.